RNAcentral lists this ribosomal RNA (254 nucleotides) under uncultured bacterium. RNAcentral's name for it is "partial 16S ribosomal RNA". It matches the Rfam family "Bacterial small subunit ribosomal RNA", at positions 524 to 776 of the family's 1533-position model. The record is from RNAcentral.
UACGUAGGGCGCAAGCGUUGUCCGGAAUUAUUGGGCGUAAAGAGCUCGUAGGCGGUGUGUCGCGUCGGCCGUGAAAACCUGCAGCUUAACUGUGGGCUUGCGGUCGAUACGGGCAUCACUGGAGUUCGGCAGGGGAGACUGGAAUUCCUGGUGUAGCGGUGAAAUGCGCAGAUAUCAGGAGGAACACCGGUGGCGAAGGCGGGUCUCUAGGCCGAUACUGACGCUGAGGAGCGAAAGCGUGGGGAGCGAACAGG